Molecule: long non-coding RNA, 528 nt
Filed under: Nicotiana tabacum (common tobacco)
Lineage: Eukaryota; Viridiplantae; Streptophyta; Magnoliopsida; Solanales; Solanaceae
Description: long non-coding RNA (NTAB_LNC018984)
Source: RNAcentral
AAAAUUGUUGCUCUUUCCUCCGAAUGUUUAAUCAACAAAAGCAUGCAUCUUUUUGCUCAGGUAGCAUUCAUCUUCCUCUCCUCUUAUUUACACUUAUUUUUUACCACCUAUUUUAAUUUGAAAAUUAACCUGACAUGCUAACCUUCUUGCCUCCGAAGGUUUGCAAAAGAUGAUAUUGGACAAGGAAGUGCUUCAAUCUGAGUGGGAUCAACUUGUUGAAUUCCUUCCGGUCCUAUUGGCCAAACUUUCUCAAAUGGGGGAACUCAAGGCUCGGCUGGAGCUAAUGGAACAAAAAAAUGGUUCAUAGUUAAGAAGCCACUCAACUACAUGUCGAGCUUGUUGAGUUGAAGAUUAAAUGAGCAGAGUUGCAGGAUGUUAUUACUUCGACUGUCGAGCAUUGUCACACCCCUUUUUUACCCCUCCAAAAGAUAUGUACAAAAUGUAACGUGUUAUGGAUUGUGGGUUAAAGAGUUUUUUCAUUUGAAGUGACAAAUUUGAAAUAGGAAUUUUUUUAUUUACAGAGUCGCC